UCUUGUUGAUUUUCUCCUUUAAGUAUCUUUUAUAACUUUAAAUGAUGGUGGAGAGUAAUCUGGGCUGAAAUAGAGCCGUUAGAGCACAUUAAAUGGGUAUUAAAUGCAGUCAGAAUGAGCAAAAAACUAGCCGUUGCAGAGUUUUUUCGUCGCAGGAGUCGACUCAUAAGGUCGACUCAUGCACAGGGAUCGACUCAUAGAGUCGACUCAUGCAUAGGGGUCGAUUCAUGGGGUCGACUCAUGCACAGGGGUCGACUCAUGGGGUUAGCUCAUAUGGUGCAGAACAGAAAUUGACAGUUCUGUAUCUUUGGCUUGCACAGCAAC
This 324-nucleotide long non-coding RNA is filed under the name Elaeis guineensis (African oil palm). RNAcentral describes it as "long non-coding RNA (EGUI_LNC054296)". The record is from RNAcentral. Lineage: Eukaryota; Viridiplantae; Streptophyta; Magnoliopsida; Arecales; Arecaceae.